UACGUAGGGGGCAAGCGUUGUCCGGAAUCAUUGGGCGUAAAGAGCGUGUAGGCGGCCAGAUAAGUCCGCUGUGAAAUCUCGAGGCUCAACUUCGAGCUGUCGGUGGAAACUGUCUGGCUAGAGUCCGGAAGAGGAGAAUGGAAUUCCUGGUGUAGCGGUGAAAUGCGCAGAUAUCAGGAGGAACACCAGUGGCGAAGGCGGUGCUCUGGGCCGGAACUGACGCUGAGGAGCGAAAGCGUGGGGAGCAAACAGG
This 253-nucleotide ribosomal RNA is filed under the name uncultured bacterium. RNAcentral describes it as "partial 16S ribosomal RNA". It matches the Rfam family "Bacterial small subunit ribosomal RNA", at positions 524 to 776 of the family's 1533-position model. The record is from RNAcentral.